RNAcentral lists this ribosomal RNA (253 nucleotides) under uncultured bacterium. Its description in RNAcentral is "partial 16S ribosomal RNA". It matches the Rfam family "Bacterial small subunit ribosomal RNA", at positions 524 to 776 of the family's 1533-position model. The record is from RNAcentral.
UACGUAGGCAGCAAGCGUUGCUCGGAAUUACUGGGCGUAAAGAGUGUGUAGGCGGUGCUCCAAGUCUGUUGUGAAAUCUCCCGGCUUAACUGGGAGGGUGCGGCGGAAACUGGGGUGCUAGAGGAUGGGAGAGGUAAGCGGAAUUCCUGGUGUAGCGGUGAAAUGCGUAGAUAUCAGGAGGAACACCUGUGGUGUAGACAGCUUACUGGACCAUUUCUGACGCUGAGACACGAAAGCGUGGGUAGCAAACAGG